Molecule: unclassified non-coding RNA, 274 nt
Filed under: Hevea brasiliensis (rubber tree)
Lineage: Eukaryota; Viridiplantae; Streptophyta; Magnoliopsida; Malpighiales; Euphorbiaceae
Source: RNAcentral
ACAAUAGAGGUGAACAAAGGAGACACAAAACCAGUCUUUAUGCGUCUCCUUGGGGCCUCCACAACACCAUGAAAUUUGAGGCCUCUGUUAAAGUUUGUCUCCUCCAAUAAAACAGAGGAGAGCUUUUGAUUUCUCAUAGAAAAAUCCCACCCGUGCGAAUAAUUAACUUAUCAAAUUAAAAACACAGCACAGCCCAAGCCCGCAAAUUCUAAUAACAAAUUUGGGUUAUCCUCAAUUUACAUGAGUAGAAGUUAAAAAGAGAGAGAGAGAGAGA